This 497-nucleotide ribosomal RNA is filed under the name uncultured bacterium. RNAcentral describes it as "partial 16S ribosomal RNA". It matches the Rfam family "Bacterial small subunit ribosomal RNA", at positions 28 to 507 of the family's 1533-position model. The record is from RNAcentral.
GAUGAACGCUGGCGGCGUGCCUAAUACAUGCAAGUCGAGCGAACAGACGAGGAGCUUGCUCCUCUGACGUUAGCGGCGGACGGGUGAGUAACACGUGGAUAACCUACCUAUAAGACUGGGAUAACUUCGGGAAACCGGAGCUAAUACCGGAUAAUAUAUUGAACCGCAUGGUUCAAUAGUGAAAGACGGUUUUGCUGUCACUUAUAGAUGGAUCCGCGCCGCAUUAGCUAGUUGGUAAGGUAACGGCUUACCAAGGCAACGAUGCGUAGCCGACCUGAGAGGGUGAUCGGCCGCACUGGAACUGAGACACGGUCCAGCCUCCUACGGGAGGCAGCAGUGGGGAAUCUUCCGCAAUGGGCGAAAGCCUGACGGAGCAACGCCGCGUGAGUGAUGAAGGUCUUCGGAUCUUAAAACUCUGUUAUUAGGGAAGAACAAAUGUGUAAGUAACUAUGCACGUCUUGACGGUACCUAAUCAGAAAGCCACGGCUAACUACGUG